GAUGAACGCUGGCGGCGUGCCUAAUACAUGCAAGUCGAGCGAACGGACGAGAAGAUUGCUUUUCUGAUGUUAGCGGCGGACGGGUGAGUAACACGUGGAUAACCUACCUAUAAGACUGGGAUAACUUCGGGAAACCGGAGCUAAUACCGGAUAAUAUUUUGAACCGCAUGGUUCAAAAGUGAAAGACGGUCUUGCUGUCACUUAUAGAUGGAUCCGCGCUGCAUUAGCUAGUUGGUAAGGUAACGGCUUACCAAGGCAACGAUGCAUAGCCGACCUGAGAGGGUGAUCGGCCACACUGGAACUGAGACACGGUCCAGACUCCUACGGGAGGCAGCAGUAGGGAAUCUUCCGCAAUGGGCGAAAGCCUGACGGAGCAACGCCGCGUGAGUGAUGAAGGUCUUCGGGUCGUAAAACUCUGUUAUUAGGGAAGAACAUAUGUGUAAGUAACUGUGCACAUCUUGACGGUACCUAAUCAGAGAGCCACGGCUAACUACGUG
This 497-nucleotide ribosomal RNA is filed under the name uncultured bacterium. Its description in RNAcentral is "partial 16S ribosomal RNA". It matches the Rfam family "Bacterial small subunit ribosomal RNA", at positions 28 to 507 of the family's 1533-position model. The record is from RNAcentral.